This is a long non-coding RNA of Rosa rugosa (rugosa rose), 625 nucleotides long. RefSeq lists it as uncharacterized. Lineage: Eukaryota; Viridiplantae; Streptophyta; Magnoliopsida; Rosales; Rosaceae. The record is from RefSeq and is a predicted model, not a curated record. The transcript is spliced from 3 exons.
CUUCUUCUUCUUCUUCGGCCCUGAAACUCUCUCUUUCCAUUUUUCCGGUGAGCUUCGAAAAUUGCAACAGACUUGGAAUCUUCAGAUAAAAACUAUCAGAGAAAGGUGCUGUGUUCUCCACUCAAGCACCACAUAGUUUCUGCAGAGAAAGAUGUAGCACUAGGAUGAAGGCAUAACAACACUGAUUCAUCUGGCUUCGGCUUGAUGGAAGGGGUUGUCAUAUGGCCCAGACGUAUUACCAAGAAAGGCCUAUCGAAGCAGACAUUGACUAUGUAUAAGCAUGGUUUUUCUGACCCAGUGGACAUUUCACUAUUGGUAUUCAUAUACCGUCUUGAAGGAAUGUCAUUUAACGGCACCCAUUUAAGGCAACAAAGAAGUUGAAUUCCAAGCUCUUGAAGAACGUGGCCAUCUCAUACUAUGCAAUGUUCCCCAAUCUGGAUCGAUGAGUUACUUUUCAUUGGUCAGUGCUUCCAUGUCUGAGGUACCUAUAUUUGGUCUAAAGGAUUCGUUCAUCUAGUUACUUUGGACUCUUUGGCUGCUGAAUAUUCAGAGUGUUUCAAUGACUAGAGCUCGGACUCCUGGAUCAAAUCAUUUUUCCUCAACUCAAGUUUGGCUCAAUUUUUUA